This 646-nucleotide ribosomal RNA is filed under the name uncultured marine eukaryote. RNAcentral's name for it is "bacterial SSU rRNA". It matches the Rfam family "Eukaryotic small subunit ribosomal RNA", at positions 617 to 1266 of the family's 1831-position model. The record is from RNAcentral.
AGUUAAAAAGCUCGUAGUUGGAUUUUUAAGGGUGUCUGCGUCAAGUGGCCUUUAGUGCCUCUAAUGUCGUAGACACCUCUUAUUUUGCCUCAGUGCUUGUUUGGGAUUCGGUUCCCGAUCAUGCUUCCGAGGCGUGUUUACUUUGAGAAAAUUAGAGUGUUCAAAACAGUUCGAUGAUUGUAUAUCAUAGCAUGGAAUAAUAACUGAUGACCUCGGUCAUUUUUUGUUGGUUCGGAUGGCUGGAGUAAUGAUUGAUAGAGUUAGUCGGAGGUAUUAGUAUUUUAUCGUUAGAGGCGAAAUUCAUGGAUCGGUAAAAGACUAACAACUGCGAAAGCAUUUAUCUAGGAUUUGCUCUUUGAUCAAGAACGGAAGUUGGGGGAUCGAAGACGAUCAGAUACCGUCGUAGUCUCAACUAUAAACUAUACCAGCUAGGGAUUGGCAAGCGUUGACUUGACCUUGUCAGAACCUUAUGAGAAAUCAAAGCAUUUGGGUUCCGGGGGGAGUAUGGUCGCAAGGCUGAAACUUAAAGGAAUUGACGGAAGGGCACCACAAAGUUGUGGAUCCUGUGGCUUAAUUUGACUCAACACGGGAAAACUACCAGGUCCAGACAUAAUAAGGAUUGACAGAUUGAUAGCUCUUUCUUGAU